GACGAACGCUGGCGGCGUGCCUAAUACAUGCAAGUAGAACGCACAGUUUAUACCGUAGCUUGCUACACCAUAGACUGUGAGUUGCGAACGGGUGAGUAACGCGUAGGUAACCUGCCUGGUAGCGGGGGAUAACUAUUGGAAACGAUAGCUAAUACCGCAUAAUAUUGAUUAUUGCAUGAUAAUUAAUUGAAAGGUGCAAUUGCACCACUACCAGAUGGACCUGCGUUGUAUUAGCUAGUAGGUGAGGUAACGGCUCACCUAGGCGACGAUACAUAGCCGACCUGAGAGGGUGAUCGGCCACACUGGGACUGAGACACGGCCCAGACUCCUACGGGAGGCAGCAGUAGGGAAUCUUCGGCAAUGGACGAAAGUCUGACCGAGCAACGCCGCGGGAGUGAAGAAGGUUUUCGGAUCGUAAAGCUCUGUUGUAAGAGAAGAACGGGUGUGAGAGUGGAAAGUUCACACUGUGACGGUAGCUUACCAGAAAGGGACGGCUAACUACGUG
This 505-nucleotide ribosomal RNA is filed under the name uncultured bacterium. RNAcentral's name for it is "partial 16S ribosomal RNA". It matches the Rfam family "Bacterial small subunit ribosomal RNA", at positions 28 to 507 of the family's 1533-position model. The record is from RNAcentral.